AUUGAACGCUGGCGGCAUGCUUUACACAUGCAAGUCGAACGGCAGCGCGGGGCAACCUGGCGGCGAGUGGCGAACGGGUGAGUAAUAUAUCGGAACGUACCCAAGAGUGGGGGAUAACGUAGCGAAAGUUACGCUAAUACCGCAUACGAUCUAAGGAUGAAAGUGGGGGAUCGCAAGACCUCAUGCUCCUGGAGCGGCCGAUAUCUGAUUAGCUAGUUGGUGAGGUAAAGGCUCACCAAGGCGACGAUCAGUAGCUGGUCUGAGAGGACGACCAGCCACACUGGGACUGAGACACGGCCCAGACUCCUACGGGAGGCAGCAGUGAGGAAUUUUGGACAAUGGGCGCAAGCCUGAUCCAGCAAUGCCGCGUGAGUGAAGAAGGCCUUCGGGUUGUAAAGCUCUUUUGUCAGGGAAGAAACGGUU
RNAcentral lists this ribosomal RNA (423 nucleotides) under uncultured bacterium. RNAcentral describes it as "bacterial SSU rRNA". It matches the Rfam family "Bacterial small subunit ribosomal RNA", at positions 30 to 455 of the family's 1533-position model. The record is from RNAcentral.